UUAAUGGUAGAGUAAUCGGCUUUUAACCGAUUUGUUUUGGAUUCGAGUCCC
RNAcentral lists this transfer RNA (51 nucleotides) under Minutocellus polymorphus. RNAcentral's name for it is "partial tRNA". It matches the Rfam family "tRNA", at positions 12 to 61 of the family's 71-position model. From Rfam's summary of the family: Transfer RNA (tRNA) molecules are approximately 80 nucleotides in length. The record is from RNAcentral. Lineage: Eukaryota; Bacillariophyta; Thalassiosirophyceae; Cymatosirales; Cymatosiraceae.